This 50-nucleotide transfer RNA is filed under the name Dendropsophus ebraccatus (hourglass treefrog). RNAcentral describes it as "partial tRNA-Gln". The record is from RNAcentral. Lineage: Eukaryota; Metazoa; Chordata; Amphibia; Anura; Hylidae.
UAGAGAGAUNNGAAUUGAACCUACAAUUAAGAGAUCAAAACUCUCCGUAA